Molecule: long non-coding RNA, 502 nt
Filed under: Daucus carota (carrot)
Lineage: Eukaryota; Viridiplantae; Streptophyta; Magnoliopsida; Apiales; Apiaceae
Description: long non-coding RNA (DCAR_LNC000623)
Source: RNAcentral
UUUAUUCUACAAAAAGACUAAAGAGUGAUAUAUGGAGAACAACUUUAGGUAUAAGAUAAGAAAGAUUCUAGUUUUAUCAUUCUAUUUUUCUAGGGUUGUGCUUAAUAUAAUUUUUUAUACAAAAUAUACUACUCCAUUUAAGUAGAUUUCACUCCUAUCAAUUCUCCCCUGACCUCACCACUUAAAUCCAUGAUGUUCCUUUCAUUAAAAUAUCCACUUUUUCAUUUGUUUUCUUCUUUUUGUUCAUUAAACCCUACUCCUUAACCUCCUUCCCAUUUCUCUUUCACACUCUUUNNNNNNNNACCUCCUGCCCAUUUCUCUUUCACACUCUUUCCCUGCAAAGAAGAGAGAGAGAUCUCCAUUCUCUUAGCCACCUUAUCACUAAUAUUACUACUUCCAUCCCUUUCUUCUUUGGAUCUUUAAGAAAAUCUAACACUCUGAAACACACUUAAAACACUUGCACACCAAACACACCUCUCUCUCUCUCUCUCAAAUCUCUCCC